This 774-nucleotide ribosomal RNA is filed under the name uncultured Neocallimastigales. RNAcentral describes it as "partial large subunit ribosomal RNA". It matches the Rfam family "Eukaryotic large subunit ribosomal RNA", at positions 20 to 627 of the family's 3401-position model. The record is from RNAcentral. Lineage: Eukaryota; Fungi; Neocallimastigomycota; Neocallimastigomycetes; Neocallimastigales.
UACUAGAGUAGCACUCGCAUAUCAAUAAGCGGAGGAAAAGAAACUAACAAGGAUUCCCCUAGUAACGGCGAGUGAAGCGGGAAGAGCUCAAAUUUGAAAUCUUAAAGGGUUUCCCUUUACGAAUUGUAGUUUAAAGAAGUGUUUUCUGUUGAGGUUUUGGUAAAAGUUCUUUGGAAUAGGACAUCAUAGAGGGUGAGAAUCCCGUAUUUGACCUUUACUUUCAACUUUGUGAUACACUUUCAAAGAGUCGGAUUGUUUGGGAAUGCAGUCCAAAAUGGGUGGUAAAUUUCAUCUAAAGCUAAAUAUUGGCGAGAGACCGAUAGCGAACAAGUACCGUGAGGGAAAGAUGAAAAGAACUUUGAAAAGAGAGUUAAACAGUACGUGAAAUUGUCAAAAGGGAAGCGUUUGACACCAGUGUUGUUUUUCUGAAAAUCAAUUAAAGAACUGUUUAUGCUAAGCUGUUUAGACUUUAUCAGCUAUCUGUUUAGUUUUGAGCUUUUCUUUAAUGCACUUUUCAGUUAACAAGUCAACAUCAAUUUCUUUUGCUGUAAAAAAGCUUGAGGAAGGUGGCUUGAGAUUCGUCUUAAGUGUUUAUAGCCUCUUGCCUAUGCAGUCGGAGAGAUUGAGGUCUGCAGCGUAGAUCCUUCGGGGCUAAAUGCGUUUGUGCUAAGUUAUAGCAUUUUAUAGACAACUUGUUGACUAUGAUUUGUCUUGUAGCUUACUCGCUUAUGUUAUUUUACCUACGCUUAGGAUGUUGAACUCUAUCACACACAG